Molecule: ribosomal RNA, 263 nt
Filed under: uncultured Lactobacillus sp.
Lineage: Bacteria; Bacillati; Bacillota; Bacilli; Lactobacillales; Lactobacillaceae
Description: partial 16S ribosomal RNA
Rfam family: Bacterial small subunit ribosomal RNA
Source: RNAcentral
AAGAUACAGGCUAGCGGCGGACGGGUGAGUAACACGUGGGUAACCUGCCCAAGAGAUCGGGAUAACACCUGGAAACAGAUGCUAAUACCGGAUAACAACAGAUGAUGCCUAUCAACUGUUUAAAAGAUGGUUCUGCUAUCACUCUUGGAUGGACCUGCGGUGCAUUAGCUAGUUGGUAGGGUAACGGCCUACCAAGGCGAUGAUGCAUAGCCGAGUUGAGAGACUGAUCGGCCACAUUGGGACUGAGACACGGCCCAAACUCC